AACCUUAUGGACCUGCGGGCGUAUACCUGCGGAAGGAUCAUUACAGAGUUGCAAAACUCCCCAAACCAUUGUGAACCUUACCUUCAAACGUUGCUUCGGCGGGCGGGCCACAGCGCCCCCCGGGCCCCCCCAGCGGGGGCGCCCGCCGGAGGAUACCCAAACUCUUGAUACUUUAUGGCCUCUCUGAGUCUUCUGUACUGAAUAAGUCAAAACUUUUAACAAUGGAUCUCAGAUCGGAAG
This 240-nucleotide unclassified non-coding RNA is filed under the name soil metagenome. RNAcentral's name for it is "partial contains 5.8S ribosomal RNA, internal transcribed spacer 2, and large subunit ribosomal RNA". The record is from RNAcentral.